This 326-nucleotide unclassified non-coding RNA is filed under the name uncultured fungus. RNAcentral's name for it is "partial contains small subunit ribosomal RNA, internal transcribed spacer 1, and 5.8S ribosomal RNA". The stretch from base 1 to 73 matches the Rfam family "Eukaryotic small subunit ribosomal RNA", at positions 1759 to 1831 of the family's 1831-position model. Lineage: Eukaryota; Fungi. The record is from RNAcentral.
GCAAACUUGGUCAUUUAGAGGAAGUAAAAGUCAUAACAAGGUUUCUGUAGGUGAACCUGCAGAAGGAUCAUUAGUGAAUUUUAAAAGGGGAACCCACUCGCUGGGCCCCAACCAAAUCUCACCAUAUCCACACACCUGUGAACUGUCGGAACGCGUGGAACAAGAGACGAAUUUAAUUUCUGUUUCCAACCACGUGUACGGCAACCCCUUUUAUUACACACCCUGAGUAACGUGAAUGUAGUUGUACAAUCAUGCUUCUGAAGCAGAAUGAAAAUACAACUUUCGACAACGGAUCUCUUGGUUCUCCCAUCGAUGAAGAACGCAGC